RNAcentral lists this ribosomal RNA (253 nucleotides) under uncultured bacterium. Its description in RNAcentral is "partial 16S ribosomal RNA". It matches the Rfam family "Bacterial small subunit ribosomal RNA", at positions 524 to 776 of the family's 1533-position model. The record is from RNAcentral.
UACAGGGGGGGCAAGCGUUGUUCGGAAUUACUGGGCGUAAAGGGCGCGUAGGCGGCCGUCUAAGUCGAACGUGAAAUCCCCGGGCUCAACCCGGGAACUGCGUCCGAGACUGGAAGGCUCGAAUCCGGGAGAGGGAUGUGGAAUUCCAGGUGUAGCGGUGAAAUGCGUAGAUAUCUGGAGGAACAUCGGUGGCGAAGGCGGCAUCCUGGACCGGUAUUGACGCUGAGGCGCGAAAGCCAGGGGAGCAAACGGG